Non-coding RNA from Triticum aestivum (bread wheat), 115 nucleotides. The record is from Rfam. NCBI's taxonomy places the organism in Eukaryota, Viridiplantae, Streptophyta, Magnoliopsida, Poales, Poaceae.
CAAGUACUCCCUCCAUCCGGAAUUUCUUGUCAUCAAAAUGGAUGUGUCUAGAACUAAAAUACAUCUAGAUACAUCCAUUUCAAUGAUAAGUAUUUUCGGACGGAGGGAGUACAAG